RNAcentral lists this transfer RNA (73 nucleotides) under Vicugna pacos (alpaca). RNAcentral's name for it is "tRNA-Asp (GTC) (tRNA-Asp-GTC-6-1)". It matches the Rfam family "tRNA". From Rfam's summary of the family: Transfer RNA (tRNA) molecules are approximately 80 nucleotides in length. The record is from RNAcentral. Lineage: Eukaryota; Metazoa; Chordata; Mammalia; Artiodactyla; Camelidae.
GGAGGGUAUAGCUCAGUGGUAGAGCACAUGCUUGUCAUGCAUGUGGUCCUGGGUUCAAUCCCCACCACCUCCA